Non-coding RNA from Mus caroli (Ryukyu mouse), 1598 nucleotides. The record is from RefSeq and is a predicted model, not a curated record. NCBI's taxonomy places the organism in Eukaryota, Metazoa, Chordata, Mammalia, Rodentia, Muridae.
UGAGUGACAGGAAAUUCCACCUUUCCCUGAAGAACUCAGGGAGCCACACGGUCUGGAAGUGGGGUUGGAAGAACCCGGCCGUGUAUUAGGGUCCCCGAAAACUUCCUUAAGACUCAGGUGCCUCUGGGAACAUUUUGGAAGCGUCAGCAGCCCAGCAGCGGGAACCUCCCAGGUCUGCACUGCUCAGCCAGAUCUGCUCACCAGCGACUCAACUAAGAGCCCUGGAUGGUGAAGAGAGAGGAGACUAUAGUAAGGAAUCCAGAAACUUGGAAAAGAGCAAUAAGAAGAAUGACUGCUUCUUUGGUAAAUGCUCCCCAGGUCAGUGUCCUAUUCACCUUUCUUUGAAAGUCAUUUUUAUUAUUGAACUCAUUCAAAACUUUAAUUCUUUACAUCUGGUAAUGUUAUCUAAAGUGUAUUUUCAAUGAUUUAUUCUCCUUUUAUCCUGAUAGUCAAAAUUAUGUCUUUAGAUCUUUCACUUAUAUGGCACAGCCUUUUCCCAUUGUAUUUAAGCUGGAUUUUAUACUGUGAGGACAUAAAUUUCCAUGGACUUCAGACCUGGAAUUCUGAAAAUUGUCUAUUCUAAAUGAUGCUCAAAGAAUAUAUUGAUGGGGAUUUCUUCAUAUGAUACACUUGUAUCCUUGUAUAUUGUUGAGGAAGGAAUGUCUCUUGUGCCACAUAAAUUUCUUUUCAGGAAUGGUCAUGUUUCCAGAAAUAGGUUUAUGAAUGAUGCACAAAUAUAUAGACAGCAUUGAACAAUAUAUGGAAGAGUAGAACGAUAAGUAUGACUAUCUGUCUUUAAUCCUAAUAGUAAACAUGUCAGCUCCCUAGAGGAACAGAGGAUGGAAGGAAUAUUUUGAUNACUCUUCCAUAACAUUGAUUUGUCUGUGAGGUGAUGAAGGUUGCAGUAUUAUGGUGUCUUUCUUAGGCAUCUUAUGUUUGUUACACAGUGAUCAUGGGUGGGUUGAUACUAGAAAUCUAUUUAUUUCAAGAGAGGUUCUGCUCAAUGCUCAAUGGUAAGUUUUUAAUAGAUGAUUAUUUUCUCUAUUUAACUUUAUAUCAUGUUUUAGAUUUGGCAUAAGCACUAUUGUCUCCAACUUUACGUUACAUCAUGUGGACUGUAUUAGUAAAAAUCNUCUAGAGAGUAUUGACUAGAGAGUAUUGCUGUGCUUAAGCCGUCAGUUUUCAACCAUAAACAGACGUUCUUCUUAAUUUAUUCUCUUAAUUUCUUUAAGAGGAAGAAUACUCACUUCACCUGUAUUUUUCCUCUUUUAGAAUCUACAUAUUAUAUAGGGGGAAAUUCUAAGCAAUAUAAUGAGGUUUCUAUUUUCCUUUAUAAUAAUAUUUUAUUUAAGUAUAAGACUGUUCAUCUGCAUUUUUUAUGUAUACUGCAUGAGCUAUUAUGCCCCUAGGUCCCUGUAUUCAGCACCAAACCAUUGGAGGUGAAGUCAGGCAUUGUAGUGACUUGCCAUGUGUGUAGAAAGAAUUGAAUCAGGAUUCUAUGGAGAAAUAAUAAGUUCCUUUGCCUCUAAGUCAUUUCUCCAGGCCGUAGUUUUACAUUCUGAUGCACAUUUGUCACAGAGGUACUGUAUAACUUUGUG